Molecule: ribosomal RNA, 420 nt
Filed under: uncultured microorganism
Description: bacterial SSU rRNA
Rfam family: Bacterial small subunit ribosomal RNA
Source: RNAcentral
GAGUUUGAUCUUGACUCAGAUUGAACGCUGGCGGCAUGCCUUACACAUGCAAGUCGAACGGCAGCAUGAUCUAGCUUGCUAGAUUGAUGGCGAGUGGCGAACGGGUGAGUAAUACAUCGGAACGUGCCCUGUAGUGGGGGAUAACUAGUCGAAAGAUUAGCUAAUACCGCAUACGACCUGAGGGUGAAAGUGGGGGACCGCAAGGCCUCAUGCUAUAGGAGCGGCCGAUGUCUGAUUAGCUAGUUGGUGGGUAAAGGCCCACCAAGGCGACGAUCAGUAGCUGGUCUGAGAGGACGAUCAGCCACACUGGGACUGAGACACGGCCCAGACUCCUACGGGAGGCAGCAGUGGGGAAUUUUGGACAAUGGGCGAAAGCCUGAUCCAGCAAUGCCGCGUGUGUGAAGAAGGCCUCGGUUGUAA